GGGAGUAUAGCUCAGGUGGUAGAGCAGCCUUCUCAUAAGAGGCUCGUCGUAGGUACCCUUCGGGAACGCUUCGCGAACAAGUCCUACUACUCCUA
Molecule: transfer RNA, 95 nt
Filed under: Coleofasciculus sp. FACHB-SPT9
Lineage: Bacteria; Bacillati; Cyanobacteriota; Cyanophyceae; Coleofasciculales; Coleofasciculaceae
Also listed under: 1 other name
Description: tRNA-Met
Source: RNAcentral